This 332-nucleotide unclassified non-coding RNA is filed under the name uncultured fungus. RNAcentral's name for it is "partial contains 5.8S ribosomal RNA, internal transcribed spacer 2, and large subunit ribosomal RNA". Lineage: Eukaryota; Fungi. The record is from RNAcentral.
AACGCAUAUUGCGCUCGAGCCCUCGGGCAAGAGCAUGUCUGCCUCAGCGUCGGUUUACACCCUCACCCCUCCCACUUUGUUGGGUAAGUUGGCAUCUCUGCCAGCCCUGGGGUGGAUCUGGCUUCCCCAAUCUGCCGUGGUGGAUUGGGUUUGCUGAAGAACAGAGGCUUAAGCAAGGACCCAAUAUGGGCUUCAACUGGAUAGGUAGCACCGGCUUGUGCCGACUACACGAAGUUGUAGCUUGUGGAUCUUGCUAGGGGCCAGCAGGAACGUGCCUAUGGCAUGUCUAAACUUUCGACCUGAGCUCAGGCAAGGCUACCCGCUGAACUUAA